UCCACAACGUGUCCUCUUCAACGCAUCCUCUUGGAGUCGAAGGAAAAACAGAUUUUUUUAUGCCCUAGCGCAGAUGAGCCAUCUUCAACGCUCAGCAUGCCAAAAUUGCCAAUGCGUCGCUGCCUUCCUGUCUCCAUGGUACCAGACUCUUCCUUCCUCUACCUUGGUGCAGAAUCGGUAAAUCAUGGGUUUCUCUAAUCUGAAGAUUCAUCUGGCGGUUGUUCGUCUCCUCCAUGAGCGAGGUUAAGACAAUAAUUCACCGGUAUACGUGCGCCUAACCAAGCGCUCUCUUGGUUAUUUGCUCUGAUCGGAAGAUAGAUGUGAUUGAGAUGGUGGAUGGACGGGAGGGGCUGUGUCUAAGCCUGCACCAGGUCCAUGCCCAUGUGGUCGCGGGCCGACCAGCCGCAGGGCGAGUGCUUGAUCGAUCGUUUCCCUUCCUGUUGUAUAUUACAAUACUGUUUGAUCUAAUUAUUUUAUGGAACGGCGAUUAGUGAAUACAACGAUGCUCCGCAGGUAAAUGCUAAUAUGCUGCACACAUGCGAUCAUGCAUCCAUGCAAGAUGGAUGGAUCCAUGGAAUUAAAACUUGAUUCAUGCGUACUGAGUACUGACGGACAUUCCCAAGACAGGUAAUAGCAGAUCACGAUCCUCUUCUUUAUCAUGAUCUUUACAAAAUAUUUCUUUCAUUACCUAAAGAUGCGUUGAAGAUUAUCUUGCGGCCACUCAGAAAUAGUCCAGGAAGCUGCAAACCAAGAUCCUGAUCCAUGUAAUAUAUUGAAGUUAGUUUUCAGAUAAUAAUUCAACACCCGUUAAAUCAAAUCCCGGCUAUAAGGUAUGGCUUAUUUUAUCGAUAAAAAUCCUUGGAAUCAAAGACGACCUAAACUUAGCCAUCUAAGGCUUAGGAAAAAUUCAGGUGUAUUCGAAUUUACUCAUGGUGUAUUAUGUUUUUGUACUUGCCAACAUUUUCCAUGCUAUUUUUUUGUCAUUUUUAGUAAAAAAUAAUAAUCUUACAAUGGUGGAAAGCAUCCAUCCAAAUUUGGGACGGUCAAUUCUUGGAAGAAAGCAAUCAUAUGUCCAAGGAAAAAAAUGGUGAGCAAGAUCACUGAAUAUGUAAUGGACAAACUAGAAGGUGAGGACACAAUUUACCGUAGUUCUGACAGUGUACACAAAGCUGUAAAUUGAAGUGAUGAUUCAAUAUUCAGAAGAGUUCCUAAACAACCUAAAGUUUCCUGGAAUUAUAAGCUCAAACUGAACAUUGGAGUACCGGUGAUGCUACUACUUAAUAUAGCCAGAGUGUUGGGUUAUGCAAUUAUAAAACAUUUUUAUCCAGCAUUUUUUUGUAUUAUCCUACUUUGACUAAAUGCCGUAACUGCCUUUUAGAUAAGCAUAAGUGAAUGGAAAUUAGUUUACUGUAAAAUAUCUUUAGAUUAAAACAACUGACUUACCUAUGCUCUGAUUGUUAUGCAGCCCAGAAGUACUUGCGAGGUACGAUCGAUCUUCAAAGUUUCCACGUGUGGGCCUUCAGUUUUGGGACAAGCAAUCUGUUUAUUUGCUGAUUUUAUUGGUGUUAUUAUGGAGAUCAGUUCACAUUAAUGGAGAGAGGAGAGGAGAGCGUUGGAGUUGAAGAUGGGGGCCUGUGGCUACACAUCAAGAGGAUUAGAAAGAGGCUUGCAAAGUAAUAAGGGGUACCUCAAUGGAGCAAAGGGGAGGAAACAUAUAUACUCACAUGGGACUUUUUACUGAUGCCAGCCAGUCCGUACCUAAGAUGUUUUCUAAUUUUACCAAACUAAUUAUGUUUAUUUAAAACCUUUCUGCACACAUGACUUAACCUUUAUACAAAACAGAUUUGGGGUUUGGUAUUUGAGUUCAGUUCACUGCCACGAAAGUGUGGUUCA
Molecule: long non-coding RNA, 1893 nt
Organism: Lolium perenne
Lineage: Eukaryota; Viridiplantae; Streptophyta; Magnoliopsida; Poales; Poaceae
Source: RefSeq, a predicted model, not a curated record